Long non-coding RNA from Aricia agestis (brown argus), 146 nucleotides. RefSeq lists it as uncharacterized. The transcript has 3 exons. NCBI's taxonomy places the organism in Eukaryota, Metazoa, Arthropoda, Insecta, Lepidoptera, Lycaenidae. The record is from RefSeq and is a predicted model, not a curated record.
GUAUCUCAAGUACGGUGAAAACUAUUUAUUUAUAUUUAGUAUACAGACAGGUUACAGUCAUUGCAUGGUUGUACAAACAUAAUCUUAAGUUCUAGGCUAGACGGCAACCCAAAAAUAGUAUACAUAACAUAAUUAUUAUUAGGUUG